ACGGAAGGCAGCAGUGGGGUAUAUUGCACAAUGGAGGAAACUCUGAUGCAGCAACGCCGCGUGAGGGAAGAAGGUCUUCGGAUUGUAAACCUCUGUUUUUGGUGAAGAAUUUUGACGGUAGCCAAAGAGGAAGCCACGGCUAACUACGUGCCAGCAGCCGCGGUAAUACGUAGGUGGCAAGCGUUGUCCGGAUUUACUGGGUGUAAAGGGUGCGCAGGCGGGACUGCAAGUUGGAUGUGAAAUACCGGGGCUCAACCCCGGAGCUGCAUCCAAAACUGUGGUUCUUGAGUGGAGUAGAGGUAAGCGGAAUUCCGAGUGUAGCGGUGAAAUGCGUAGAUAUUCGGAGGAACACCAGUGGCGAAGGCGGCUUACUAGGCUCUAACUGACGCUGAGGCACGAAAGUGUGGGUAGCAAACAGGAUUAGAUACCCUGGUA
This 435-nucleotide ribosomal RNA is filed under the name uncultured Ethanoligenens sp. RNAcentral describes it as "partial 16S ribosomal RNA". It matches the Rfam family "Bacterial small subunit ribosomal RNA", at positions 341 to 792 of the family's 1533-position model. The record is from RNAcentral. Lineage: Bacteria; Bacillati; Bacillota; Clostridia; Eubacteriales; Oscillospiraceae.